RNAcentral lists this ribosomal RNA (490 nucleotides) under uncultured bacterium. Its description in RNAcentral is "partial 16S ribosomal RNA". It matches the Rfam family "Bacterial small subunit ribosomal RNA", at positions 30 to 507 of the family's 1533-position model. The record is from RNAcentral.
AUUGAACGCUGGCGGCAGGCCUAACACAUGCAAGUCGAACGGUAACAGGAAACAGCUUGCUGUUUCGCUGACGAGUGGCGGACGGGUGAGUAAUGUCUGGGAAACUGCCUGAUGGAGGGGGAUAACUACUGGAAACGGUAGCUAAUACCGCAUAACGUCGCAAGACCAAAGAGGGGGACCCUCGGGCCUCUUGCCAUCGGAUGUGCCCAGAUGGGAUUAGCUUGUUGGUGGGGUAACGGCUCACCAAGGCGACGAUCCCUAGCUGGUCUGAGAGGAUGACCAGCCACACUGGAACUGAGACACGGUCCAGCCUCCUACGGGAGGCAGCAGUGGGGAAUAUUGCACAAUGGGCGCAAGCCUGAUGCAGCCAUGCCGCGUGUAUGAAGAAGGCCUUCGGGUUGUAAAGUACUUUCAGCGGGGAGGAAGGGAGUAAAGUUAAUACCUUUGCUCAUUGACGUUACCCGCAGAAGAAGCACCGGCUAACUCCGUG